GCCUUUUUAGCUCAGUGGUAGAGCAUUGUAUUUGUAAUGCAGCGGUCGUCGGUUCAAGUCCGACAAAAGGCU
RNAcentral lists this transfer RNA (72 nucleotides) under Strombomonas costata. RNAcentral describes it as "tRNA-Thr". It matches the Rfam family "tRNA". From Rfam's summary of the family: Transfer RNA (tRNA) molecules are approximately 80 nucleotides in length. Their secondary structure includes four short double-helical elements and three loops (D, anti-codon, and T loops). RNAcentral also lists the same sequence under 1 other name. Lineage: Eukaryota; Euglenozoa; Euglenophyceae; Euglenales; Euglenaceae. The record is from RNAcentral.